CAGCAGUCUGACUCCCAAUCCACUGCUUUUCCACUCACAUUGUUCCUGUCUUUCUCCUAGUUGUGGGGUCCCCCCCGGCGAUUUCGUCCUGAGCAGAUCCUGCAGCUCGGUAGGCUCUUAAUAGGUCUAGGAGAUCGGGAACUACAGGAGCUGAUCCUAGUGGACUGGGGAGUGCUGAGCACCCUGGGGCAGAUAGAUGGCUGGAGCUCCACUCAGGUAACACUUUUCCUCCUCCCUACGGCUUCCCAAACACCCAUCCCACAGACCCAGCCCUAUAGAUCAUCUAAAGCCCGAGGAAUUUUUUUCCUGUGACCCUACCUGGUCCUUCUUUCUAUCUUUUCUUGAUACCCCAUACUAGUGACCUUCAGGACUCUGAUAUAUUCACUCUGAGGCCCUGGACACAUAAUACUGUCUCCUACCUCUUUUCCUGGAGGCUUCCUCUUUUUCUAACCUUUUCUGAGUCCUCAGCCUUCCCCAUGACUCCUUAGGUCUUAAUAGUAACAGAAUAUAACCCGGUAACACCUACCACUUCCCUGUCCAUUAAUUCUCCAUAACUUUCCUCCUUCCCCUCUUCUCCCACCCCCCACCCCAGCUCCGCAUUGUGGUCUCCAGUUUCCUACGGCAGAGUGGUCGGCAUGUGAGCCACCUGGACUUCGUUCAUCUGACAGCGCUGGGUUAUACUCUCUGUGGACUGCGGCCAGAGGAGCUCCAGCACAUCAGCAGUUGGGAGUUUAGCCAAGCGGCUCUCUUCCUCGGCACCCUGCAUCUCCAGUGCUCUGAGGAACAACUGGAGGUUCUGGCCCACCUACUUGUACUGCCUGGUGGGUUUGGCCCAAUCAGUAACUGGGGGCCUGAGAUCUUCACUGAAAUUGGCACCAUAGCAGGUGGGGAGCUGGGCCACUGCUGGUGCAAGUUGGUUUGGUUUCUAUACCAUGGGUGGACUGGAUGGAAGACUGCCCUGCAAUUCUUCAGGUGUGGGCCUGAGAGG
This 988-nucleotide long non-coding RNA is filed under the name Pan troglodytes (chimpanzee). RNAcentral describes it as "lncRNA (ENSPTRG00000053802.1)". Lineage: Eukaryota; Metazoa; Chordata; Mammalia; Primates; Hominidae. The record is from RNAcentral.